Molecule: transfer RNA, 73 nt
Filed under: Amborella trichopoda
Lineage: Eukaryota; Viridiplantae; Streptophyta; Magnoliopsida; Amborellales; Amborellaceae
Rfam family: tRNA
About the family: Transfer RNA (tRNA) molecules are approximately 80 nucleotides in length. Their secondary structure includes four short double-helical elements and three loops (D, anti-codon, and T loops).
Source: Rfam by way of RNAcentral
GUCGGGAUAACUUAGCUGGUAGAGCAGAGGAUUGAAAAUCCUUGUGUCACCAAUUCAAAUCUGGUUUUUGGCA